Molecule: ribosomal RNA, 503 nt
Filed under: uncultured bacterium
Lineage: Bacteria
Description: bacterial SSU rRNA
Rfam family: Bacterial small subunit ribosomal RNA
Source: RNAcentral
UGAGUAAUGUCUGGGAAACUGCCUGAUGGAGGGGGAUAACUACUGGAAACGGUAGCUAAUACCGCAUAACGUCGCAAGACCAAAGAGGGGGACCUUCGGGCCUCUUGCCAUCAGACGUGCCCAGAUGGGAUUAGCUAGUAGGUGGGGUAAUGGCUCACCUAGGCGACGAUCCCUAGCUGGUCUGAGAGGAUGACCAGCCACACUGGAACUGAGACACGGUCCAGACUCCUACGGGAGGCAGCAGUGGGGAAUAUUGCACAAUGGGCGCAAGCCUGAUGCAGCCAUGCCGCGUGUGUGAAGAAGGCCUUCGGGUUGUAAAGCACUUUCAGCGAGGAGGAAGGUGGUGAGCUUAAUACGCUCAUCAAUUGACGUUACUCGCAGAAGAAGCACCGGCUAACUCCGUGCCAGCAGCCGCGGUAAUACGGAGGGUGCAAGCGUUAAUCGGAAUUACUGGGCGUAAAGCGCACGCAGCGGUUUGUUAAGUCAGAUGUGAAAUCCCCGGG